Molecule: ribosomal RNA, 301 nt
Filed under: uncultured bacterium
Lineage: Bacteria
Description: partial 16S ribosomal RNA
Rfam family: Bacterial small subunit ribosomal RNA
Source: RNAcentral
CAGUAGCCACGGGAAUACGUAGGUGGCAAGCGUUGUCCGGAAUUAUUGGGCGUAAAGCACGCGCAGGUGGUUUGAUAAGUCUGAAGUUAAAGGCUGUGGCUCAACCAUAGUUCGCUUUGGAAACUGUCAAACUUGAGUGCAGAAGGGGAGAGUGGAAUUCCAUGUGUAGCGGUGAAAUGCGUAGAUAUAUGGAGGAACACCGGUGGCGAAAGCGGCUCUCUGGUCUGUAACUGACGCUGAGGCUCGAAAGCGUGGGGAGCGAACAGGAUUAGAUACCCCAGUAGUCCCUGUCUCUUAUACA